CAACUUACCCUUCAGCGGGGCAUAACCUCGGGAAACUGAGGCUAAUUCCCCAUAGUUGGAGUUGCCUGGAACGGUACUCCAUCGAAAGAUACUCCGGAAUGUAGGAGAUUCACUGAAGGAUAGGAUCGCUCUCGAUUAUGGUUGUUGGCGAGGUAAUGGCUCACCAAGCCUAUGAUCGAUAGGGGCCGUGAGAGCGGUAGCCCCGAGAUGGGAACUGAGACAAUGUCCCAGGCCUUACGAGGCGCAGCAGGCGCGAAACCUUUACAAUGCACGCAAGUGUGAUAAGGUUACCCGGAGUGCCAGGAGACAAACUUCUGGCUGUUGUAGGUGUGUAAAUAACCCUACGAGAAAGGAGAGGGCAAGGCUGGUGCCAGCCGCCGCGGUAAAACCAGCUCUUCAAGUGGUCGGGAAUAUUAUUGGGCUUAAAGUGUCCGUAGCCGGUUUGAUAAGUUCCUGGUUAAAUCUGGCAGCUUAACUGUCAGUUGGCUAGGAAUACUAUCUUACUAGAGGGUGGGAAAGGUCUGAGGUACUCCAGGGGUAGCGGUGAAAUGCUAUAAUCCUUGGGGGACCACCAGUGGCGAAGGCGUCAGACUGGAACACGCCUGACGGUGAGGGACGAAAGCCAGGGGAGCGAACGGGAUUAGAUACCCCGGUAGUCCUGGCUGUAAACGAUGCGUGCUAGGUGUUGGUAGGGCUAUGAGCCGUAUCAGUGCCGUAGGGAAACUGUUAAGCGCGCCGCCUGGGAAGUACGCUCGCAAGGGUGAAACUUAAAGGAAUUG
This 779-nucleotide ribosomal RNA is filed under the name uncultured archaeon. RNAcentral describes it as "bacterial SSU rRNA". It matches the Rfam family "Archaeal small subunit ribosomal RNA", at positions 105 to 867 of the family's 1478-position model. The record is from RNAcentral.